CAGCAGUGGGGAAUAUUGCACAAUGGGCGCAAGCCUGAUGCAGCCAUGCCGCGUGUAUGAAGAAGGCCUUCGGGUUGUAAAAGUACUUUCAGCAGUGAGGAAGGUGGGUAUGUUAAUAGCAUAUUCAUUUGACGUUAGCUGCAGAAGAAGCACCGGCUAACUCCGUGCCAGCAGCCGCGGUAAUACGGAGGGUGCGAGCGUUAAUCGGAAUUACUGGGCGUAAAGCGCAUGCAGGUGGUUGUUAAGUCAGAUGUGAAAGCCCGGGGCUCAACCUCGGAAUUGCAUUUGAAAACUGGCAAACUAGAGUACUGUAGAGGGGGUAGGAAUUUCAGGUGUAGCGGUGAAAUGCGUAGAGAUCUGAAGGAAUACCGGUGGCGAAGGCGGCCCCCUGGACAGAUACUGACACUCAGAUGCGAAAGCGUGGGGAGCAAACAGGAUUAGAUACCCUGGUAG
RNAcentral lists this ribosomal RNA (453 nucleotides) under uncultured bacterium. RNAcentral's name for it is "bacterial SSU rRNA". It matches the Rfam family "Bacterial small subunit ribosomal RNA", at positions 349 to 793 of the family's 1533-position model. The record is from RNAcentral.